This is an RNA transcript of Neltuma alba, 1178 nucleotides long. RefSeq lists it as uncharacterized. NCBI's taxonomy places the organism in Eukaryota, Viridiplantae, Streptophyta, Magnoliopsida, Fabales, Fabaceae. The transcript has 2 exons. The record is from RefSeq and is a predicted model, not a curated record.
UUUUUUUUUUUUGCUUUGAAAUGUCUUCUUCUGUUUCUUCUUCAAUUUCUGAGCAAAUCUAGAGUCCUACUAGCCCGUAUUAUAUACAUCCGAAUGAAAACCUAGGGGCUGUUCUUGUUUCUCCUCCACUCUCAGGAAAUAACUAUCACUCUUGGUCGCGAGCUAUGGCAAUGGCCUUGGAAUCCAAGAACAAGAUAGAUUUUGUUAACAAAAGCAUUUCUUGUCCAGUUCCAACAGAUCCGUUGUAUUUGGCCUGGCGUCAAUGCAAUAAUUUGGUGAUUUCAUGGAUCAAUCGAUGUCUCUCAUCGGAUAUUUCACAAAGUGUUCUUUGGAUCAACACAGCUUAUGACCUUUGGUUAGAUCUAGCAGAUCGUUUUUCUCAAAACGAUGCCUCUCGUAUUGCAGAAAUCCAAGAAGAAAUGUUUUCUUUAAGACAAGGAGAUUUACCGGUUGGCCAAUAUUUCACCAAGCUUAAGAUUCUUUGGGAUGAAUUGCAGAAUCUACGACCUCUCUCCUCAUGUACUUGUGAAGCUCGAAAGUAUCUGCAACAAGAUUACACUAUCCGUUUUCUUCGUGGCCUCAAUGAUCGAUUUACAGGGGUUAAAUCUCAAAUAAUGCUUAUGGAUCCUAUUCCUGGUAUAAAUCGUGUCUGUAAUCUUGUUUUGCAGCAGGAACGAGAGAUGAUUUCUGAAUCCAAGGUCCUCAUGGAAAAUCGUGGUCCUAAUCCACGAUCUCAAUCUCAACCUCGGCAAAAUAAUGGUUCUAAUUCUAGUUUCAACAACAAGCAAUGUACGUUUUGUGGCAAGCUGAGACACACAGAGGAGACAUGUUAUCGCAAGCAUGGAUUUCCUCCUAGUUUUAAAUUUUGAAAUUCAUCCCACUCGACCAAUAAUUCUGCUUCUUAGCCUCCGGUUUCAUUAGCCGAAGCCAAGGAUUCCUCUCAUGAUGCAAAAAUUGGUCUAACUUCUGAGCAAUAUCAACAGGACUUGACCAAGUGGAAGACGAUUGGUUCAGCUGAAGUUCAAGAAGGAUUAUACAUAAUGAAGCGUCAGGCAAAUCCAUCUCUUGCUCUUGCUUCCAGAACUCAUGUCAAAACCCAUGAUGCCAACUUCUUCGACUUAUGGCACUUCCGUCUUGGCCAUCUGUCUCCUGGAUCUCUUCAGCGAAUUCAUAAUAAA